CUUUUCUCCCAUGCUAUCAGAUUGCUUCCUUGCAGCGUCAAAAUUGCAAAGCUGAUUCAAAAGUCCAGCUGUGAUGUAGUCUGUAUUAUCGAUCGCCAAGUGCCGGCGGAGUUGGCGGAGCAAUUUAGCGAGUUUCGAGCAUUUGAUAAGGCAUUCGAUAGUGUGGUUUCCUGCUUCAAAUCGCAAAAGUUGGACUUGCCCAUAGUUUAUUCACCAGUACAAGAAUUGACAGAUUAUCAUGAUGUGCGGACGUACCAAAAAGCGGCAGCUAAGUCGUUGGAACGAGCAAUUAAGGCUGGCUUCAAGUCGCCCAUGUUGAUCGUGCCCACAAGUCACCGCUUCUCCAAUGCUGAACUUUGUACUGUGCUAGGUGCUUUGGAUCAAUUAUAUGUUCCAAUUCAACUGCGAGAGGAUGUCCCUGCACAUGCCAAGCAAAUUAAGGAGUUAUCUGUGCUGAUUUCCAAACCUAAUGCUGAAGAUAUUUUAAAGGAAGCCUUGGUCUUAGAAUCUGGUCGAAUGGUUGCCCGUGAUAUUGGUGAGUCCGUGAGAGA
Long non-coding RNA from Rhagoletis zephyria (snowberry fruit fly), 551 nucleotides. RefSeq lists it as uncharacterized. The record is from RefSeq and is a predicted model, not a curated record. NCBI's taxonomy places the organism in Eukaryota, Metazoa, Arthropoda, Insecta, Diptera, Tephritidae.